GACGAACGCUGGCGGCGUGCUUAACACAUGCAAGUCGAGCGAUGAAGCACCUUCGGGUGUGAAUUAGCGGCGAACGGGUGAGGAACACGUGAAGAAUCUGCCUUCAACUCUGGGAUAACUCCGGGAAACCGGGGCUAAUACCGGAUAUGAGCCUUGAUCGCAUGAUCGGGGCUGGAAAGUUUUUCGGUUGAAGAUGACUUCGCGGCCUAUCAGCUUGUUGGUGAGGUAAUGGCUCACCAAGGCGACGACGGGUAGCCGGCCUGAGAGGGCGACCGGCCACACUGGGACUGAGACACGGCCCAGACUCCUACGGGAGGCAGCAGUGGGGAAUAUUGGGCAAUGGAGGAAACUCUGACCCAGCGACGCCGCGUGAGGGAUGAAGGCCUUCGGGUUGUAAACCUCUUUCAGUAGGGAAGAAGCGAAAGUGACGGUACCUACAGAAGAAGCACCGGCUAACUAUGUGCCAGCCGCCGCCGUAA
Molecule: ribosomal RNA, 479 nt
Filed under: uncultured bacterium
Lineage: Bacteria
Description: partial 16S ribosomal RNA
Rfam family: Bacterial small subunit ribosomal RNA
Source: RNAcentral